UAGGUGGAACCUGCGGAAGGAUCAUUA
RNAcentral lists this non-coding RNA (27 nucleotides) under Mus musculus (house mouse). The record is from RNAcentral. Lineage: Eukaryota; Metazoa; Chordata; Mammalia; Rodentia; Muridae. RNAcentral also lists the same sequence under 1 other name.